GGCGUAAGAGCUCGUAGGCGGCUUGUCACGUCGGAUGUGAAAGACACGGGGCUUAACCCCGGGUCUGCAUUCGAUACGGGCUAGCUAGAGUGUGGUAGGGGAGAUCGGAAUUCCUGGUGUAGCGGUGAAAUGCGCAGAUAUCAGGAGGAACACCG
This 155-nucleotide ribosomal RNA is filed under the name Streptomyces melanogenes. Its description in RNAcentral is "partial 16S ribosomal RNA". It matches the Rfam family "Bacterial small subunit ribosomal RNA", at positions 557 to 711 of the family's 1533-position model. The record is from RNAcentral. Lineage: Bacteria; Bacillati; Actinomycetota; Actinomycetes; Kitasatosporales; Streptomycetaceae.